CCUGUGUAAAUGGACCCUGGACCCAUUUGCUCAGCUCACCGUAUCCUCGUCUCUUCACAUGCAUUAUCUGCCAAAGAGCGUUGGAUUUGCAGUUAAGAGGGCUGAGUUUGAGAGACCUGUUUUGCUAUUUGAAUUUUGGCAAUUCGCCUCAUCUCUUUGGGCCUCAGUUUUAUCAUCUGUUAAAUGAGACUAGUAAGAUGUACCCUACCCUUUCUCCGUGUGACGAUACAUAUAACGUGCCAUCUAUGAGGAAGAAGCCCUCACCAGACCCUGAAUCUGCUGCCACCUUGAUCUUGGACUUCCCAGCCUCUAGAGUUGACUCUGGUGAGGAUUAAAGAGUUGACUUCCGGUGUUUGUACUGUGAAGAAGAAGUUUGAUGUGGAAUUGACUUUUUUCUUUUGUGGAUCAGUUCCCUUUUGGAGGACUGAUGAAUAUUUUGACAUCCUGCUGCUUUGCUUCACAAUCAUUUGAACAGAUGACUUGUCCAGUAUUCAGAGAUGAGCAGGUAUGCUGGAUCCAGCUCCCACUGGUUUGUGAGAUUCAACUGCUUCAAUCUCUGUGAAUCUGCGUUCCCAACUCUGUGUUCAGUGAUGCCACAUUGCUAACUGAAAAUAGAUGGUGGUGGGAGUAUUUACACCACUGAAAUUGGCAAACACUACAAAUCAUGGCUCCCUGCUCUGCCACUGACUGAUGCUUGUUAAACAUUUACCAGCAUAUGACUGCUCAUAGAAAACAUAGUUAGCUUUCCAUUUUCCCAUGUCCAAUGUCUAAAUAUGUCUUGAGAAAAUCUGUGCUGAAAUUGAAGCUUGAUUUUGGUAUUUUUGACGCUUCCUCCCUGUUCUGGGCUGCAUUGUGCCCCCUCUCCAAAUUCAUAUGUUGAAGUCUUAACCCCUGGUACAUCAGAAUAUGACUGUAUUUGGAGAUAGGGCCUUUAAAGAGGUAAUUAAGUUAAAAUGAAGCUGUUAAGGUCAUUGUAUUAAGUCCCUACUCCAACCUGACUGGUGUCCUUAUAAGAAGAGGAAAUUUGGACAUACAGAGUCACCAGGGUUGCACAUACACAGAGGAAAGACCAUGUGAGGACACAGUGAGAAGGUGACCAUCUGCAAGCCAAGGAGAGAGGCCUCAGGAGAUACCAAUCCUGCUGAUGUCUUGAUCUUGCAUUUGAAGCCUCCAGAACCAUGAGAAAACACAUUUGUUUUUUGAGCCAUCCAGUCUGCGAUACUUCGUUAUGGCAACCCUAGCAAACUAAUAUACCCCUCUGAUGAUUCUGUACUUUCUCAUUUUCCACCUUCCCCCUUUCCCCACUAGAAUGUCAAUCAGGGACUUUUCUAAUUCUUUACAGAAUGGCAUAGAAUCAGGAAAUGAAACUACAUCCUACUUAUCAACUUGCAUGUUUAGUGAUGGGGUUAGAGAUCCCAUGCUCAAGGGCCAGGUCAGCUGUUUCAUGCUGCAAAACUGCUGAUCCCUUUCUCCCCCUUGUCUUCCCACACUUGCUCCCAGAGUCUUGUGUUCAUAGGCAGUGAGGCAGGUGAGAGAAUGGAGCAGUGUGAAGAAUCACACAUAGGUGCAAAUACAAGUCAAGGGUGAAGGGCUCAAACAUGAUGGACGGACAGAGUUAUCUUCAUAUAAGGAACAAAAGACCUUUUUUUGGCCACAAAGAACUGCCUUUGUCCAAAAUAUGCUAUCUUAGAAAACUAUGAAAUCAUGGACUGAGAGCUGUUCACAGAUUAAAUUCUGAAAUUGGCAUCUUUAAUUCCAAAAACAUCCCCAGUUGAUUCAACUCCUUAUCAGGUUCCCACCUAAUUAUGUCAAAUGUAUCUCACUAUGCAAAAAAGGCCUCUGGAUGAAGCAACUUCAGUUUUUCAUGAAGAAUUAUAAUUCAGGCAGGCCUCUUGAUUUUGUUUAAUACCAGG
RNAcentral lists this long non-coding RNA (1913 nucleotides) under Homo sapiens (human). Its description in RNAcentral is "HSALNT0237350". Lineage: Eukaryota; Metazoa; Chordata; Mammalia; Primates; Hominidae. The record is from RNAcentral.